CGUGGGUGGAGUGAGUGGCGAACGGGUGAGUAACACGUGAGUAACCUCGCCCCUUCUUUGGGAUAACGCCCGGAAACGGGUGCUAAUACUGGAUAUUCACUUGCCUUCGCAUGGGGGUUGGUGGAAAGGGUUUUUUCUGGUGGGGGAUGGGCUCGCGGCCUAUCAGCUUGUUGGUGGGGUGAUGGCCUACCAAGGCUUUGACGGGUAGCCGGCCUGAGAGGGUGACCGGUCACAUUGGGACUGAGAUACGGCCCAG
Molecule: ribosomal RNA, 256 nt
Filed under: uncultured bacterium
Lineage: Bacteria
Description: partial 16S ribosomal RNA
Rfam family: Bacterial small subunit ribosomal RNA
Source: RNAcentral